AGACACAGAACUGACCUAGAGACUGACUUUAUUCUACGGAUUGCAAUGGGGAGACCACCCCAGGUCUGAAGAGCAGACUGUGUCAGCAGGGUGGCUUUGCAUUGGACUUGAGAGAGAUUAAUAGACAGUGCUACUGUGGGAAACAUUCGGGGGAGGGGGGAGUCUAAUCAACUGAACAGGAAAUGUUUGUCUUUGUGACUAGCUGGUUUCAGGAGGGCUGACUUUGAAUCUCAGUUACGAUUCAUGAGACAGAAAACACGGAGCUGAGGGUCUGUGUCUGACCUUUAAGGACUCGGAGGAAGGUCUGUGUUUGGCCUGCUAGCAGGGUACACCCAUGGGACACCUGAGAGGCUUAUGGCAAAUAGGACAAAGAGUGGACCGCAAGCCUUACCUAAGUCCUAAAGGGAAGGCCGGUCUUUGCUGGUAAGCCACUUCGGGAACACAGAAGUCUGCAGAGAUGUCUUUUCUGUGGCUCUUUCGGGGCUCAGGUGAAGUUCAGCCUUGUCAAAUGGUAAAGAUGAGCCAGGCAUCUUUCAUGCCUGUCCAAGCAGAUAUGUGGAUAAGAAGAGAGGGUCCCUUCUUACCCUGGAAGUCAUCGACACUUGAACAACACUUUAUAGUUGGCAAUACAUGAUGCACAGUGGCCACAUGGAGAGGAGACACAAAGCAGAUAUGUAAAGCCCAGCAGACAUGCGUACAGGUAGAGACGUUGCCAUUGUACCUAGGGGGUAACUGACAGUCAAACGGUACUUUGUGGUGUAAAAGAAAAUUCCCCUAGACUAAAUUAAUGACACAGAAAGCAGUCAGUUUUCUUCAUCAUCAGACUCAUUCUCCUCUCACUGAUGAGGUGUCUUGGGCACAGAGAGGUUAGGUCAGCUCCCCCACAUCAUUCAGGUCAUACUUGUUUGAAUCCCAAAGGCAAGGAACAUUCAGCCUGUCCAAACUAAGCCAUCCACCCCGAGUCCCUACACACAUCUGCACCUCCUCUAGUGUUUGCCUGACUCAGUGCAAGGCAGCCUUCUCCCCGGCUGCUUUGGCCAGAGAUCCUUACAGCCAUCUGUGCCUGCCGCCUCUGUCUCACCAUCCCCUCAGGCACCAAGCCCUGCCUUUCUGCUCCUAAGUCUAGGCAAGAUCCUGCCACUUCUCUCCAUCACCACAGUGAGAUCCCUAGUCCAGGUCACCCUCAGCUCUACUCUGCACGACCACCACCAAUCCUGAUCCUUUGCCACCCUUUUUCCAUUCCACUGCCCGAGGAACCUUUCUGAAGUCCUAAUCUAGGAACGCCACACCUGUUCAAACCUCUGUGGGGGCUGUCCGCUGCUCUAGGGAUAGUGUCCGGCCUCCUGGACUAGGCACAUCAGGAGUCGCGUGCCCCUGAGUGCCUGAUCCUCACCGGACCCCUCCUGCUCCAUUCCCCCCACUUGACUUUCCAACCACCCCAAACCCCUUUCUGUACCUCACAUGGCCAGUGUGCUCACAAUCGUUCCUGCUGACCACUCCCAGACUGCACAUCCUCACAGGUGCUGUUCCCGCCAUCCUCAUCUGCUGGUUCGGUGUCACGUUGGGUGGUGCAAUUUCCAUUUUACCUGGGCCGCACUUGGAUGAGAAGUCAGUUAACUCCUACUUUUAUAGAAUGGGAUGUGGUGGGGAUUUCUUGUUGAAUUCCCCAAAUCAAAACAAGGUUUACUGUGGUUCACAGUGAGCUGAGCUGAAAUGUAAUCUGAUGCCUGCCUUUUUUGGGAAAAGCUUCCUUGCUAAUAAGCACAGGGGACAGAUGGCAAAGGUCUCUCUGCUUAUUGUAUUUGGGCCCACUUUUGCCUUUGAACAUGGACUUUGGAAUCAGAUCACAAUUUUGGAACUAUCAAUGGAUCCAGGGUGAUCACCUGCCUGACAGUGAGGAGGGAUAACCCAGAACAUGGGAGAUACUUGUCACUUUAUGGUGUCUGUGACCCAGUAAAUGGAACAGGCCCGAUCUGCUCUGCCCAUGGACUUUGUUUUGAUGACACGUUCACUAUUUCCCACUCGAUUUUAUAGUCGGAGUUCUCUGUUAGGACAACAGAAAGUACAGUAACUUUCCUCUCUUUGCAGUGGAGCUGAUUUUCUAGUUCUUGGGGCCCUGAGGGUGGCAGGGAUCAGCUGCCUGCUCAGGAUGGGGGGGCCCUCCAAGGUCAUGUGCCAGUGCCUUCCUGCAGCUCUUCAGGUGUCUGCACAGGGUGCUGUCAACCCCUGGAGGCACCCAGACGAUCCAGUUCCUAGAAGGUCCGGGAGAGAGUGUGUAGGUUCUACCAGCUACACACUCAGCUGUGAGGAUCCCCUUCAUUCACUACAACUCCUCUAAGCAGAACACACCUAAGUAUGAAAUGAAGCGUGUGUCUCUGAUACGUAAGGUCAAAGAAAAAGAUGGAAAUGGCACCACCCCCCCUACCCCACAGCCACCCCAGUCAGAGGGUGGAGUAGACUCCUGGGGCCGUGGCCUGGAUCCCUCCACACUGAUGUGUCCCUAACAGGGGUGCAGUGUAAACGGCUCUUCCUCAAGCCUGGCUCUUGAGCUCAUGUGAGCAGGGCAGACACGGUUUUAUUUCCCCAAGGGCCAGAGAGGUAAGUAUCAACCCACUGCCUUCCACAGACAAGGAAAUAAGCUCAAAGAGGUUAAGUCGCUGAUGCAGUGGAGGGUGGAUCUGGGAGUCACGCCCCGGGUCUGUCAGACUCCUGAGCCAGUCUUCUUUGCCGUCACUUCACAACAAACUUGGUUUGGGUUUUUGUUGCUGAGAUGCAGAUACUGUUCCAUGAUGGGACAGUCACUGUUGUCCCAGUACCGUGUCCAUCGGUGACGUCCAGGCACCCAGCAGGGCAAAGGCACCGUGAACGGCUCUCAGACCCUCUCUGUGUCGCCUUCAGGGGAGAUGCUCUGAAGCCCAGAGACCCGGAGUCCACUGGUGGGAAGGGCCUGCCUCAGAGCCAACAGGCAGGCAGGACGUUGACUUUCCCUGCGGGGAGGCACUGCACCAUGCCAGAGAGGCUUUGCCAUCACCCCCCAGGCCCGGUUACGGCCCAGUUAGGACUCGACCCGUCUCCCUCUGUUUAGCAGAUACUAGGAAUUGAGAGGCGAGCAGAGGCAGAGGAGGUGCUUUCAGUGGCUGCAUGGCCUCUCGGGAGGUGACCCAGCCGCCAUGGUGGUCUGGAGCCCAAAGACUGAGAAUGGAAAAUGGCUGCACUGGUUUUGCUGUCGGUGCCCUUCAGCCUGUGUGUCUGUAAACUGGAAGAUCACGGUGCCUCCCUCAGGAACCUCCCCACCCUUGAGAAGUGUGUCUUGACCAAACACCCACAACCCCUCCCCCUGAUACUUUGGCAGGGGUCAGUGCCCUCCUCUGUGUUCCUAGGUUUCUAGGACUUAAAUCCCGCCAUCACUCACACAACAGGUGGCUGUCAUCUGCUUGCAGGUUCCAGCCCACAUCAUCCCCACAUCCCCAAACUAGGCCCAGGAGGCUGAGAUGUAGUGUCUUGGCGGUGCUGAGACUGUUUCCUCAAUGAACAAAGGACCCU
This 3543-nucleotide long non-coding RNA is filed under the name Sus scrofa (pig). RNAcentral describes it as "lncRNA (ENSSSCG00030014665.1, ENSSSCG00040011686.1, ENSSSCG00050010224.1, ENSSSCG00060029634.1)". The record is from RNAcentral. Lineage: Eukaryota; Metazoa; Chordata; Mammalia; Artiodactyla; Suidae.